Molecule: long non-coding RNA, 1082 nt
Filed under: Crocodylus porosus (Australian saltwater crocodile)
Lineage: Eukaryota; Metazoa; Chordata; Crocodylia; Crocodylidae
Description: lncRNA (ENSCPRG00005011552.1)
Source: RNAcentral
CACAAACCUUGUUCUCCAAAGACAGGUCUCCACUGCAGUCACUCUGAUGCCUGCAACUUGUGUAGACACACCUGAACUAGCUUUGAGCUGGUCUGGGUCCCAAUAGCCAUUCAGCUGUGAUAUUUGGCAUAGACUGAGUAUUCAGGUAGCUUCUCCUUUUGGAGCCCUACGUUGUUGCAGCUACACUGCUAGGAAUAUCUUCAGCUUAAAGCUGGAUCAGUCAUGUCUACACAACGCACGGGCUCAGUAACAUGUAGACCUGCCCCGAGCAGACUGCACGCUUCUCUGACCUGUCAUCUCUCAGAGGAGCACAGAGCAGCUUGUACAUGCAAAAAUAAAAAGAAAAGCCAUAUCAAAACAGUGCUGUCUCUAGGGAGAGGAGAAGAGAAAGAACCAACUCCAUGUAAUGAAUGUUAGUGCCGUCACUCAGCACGCCAAUGGAAAGCACUCAGGUCCCUGACUGGCGAGGAACCCAUAAGGACCUGUAUAGGCCAGUAUGGUAUUGUAUAUUAUUUAAUUUUUACACACCAGUUCUAUUGUGUCUGAACAUAUUUUGCAUCUUUUUCCUCCUCCUUUCCUAAAUGGAAUCCCCAACAGAUUGAAGGCUUGGAAGGAAAAGAGAAAGAAAGACAGAAAGAGUGCUCCAAGGAUCUUCCUAAAGUAGCUCUCACCAUUAUAGCAUGCCAGAAGAGAUUACUCUUGUCGAGGACAUCUGCUCGGGCCAGAAGCCAAAUACAACAGGACAAGGCCCUCCUGUGCAGCUCCUUUCCUUCUUGUCGCCAUAGUGAUGCUGGGAAUGGAGACCCUGCACUCACUGACCUAGAUCGCCAUCGCCUUCUGCACGGCACACCCACCUCGUCCCUCUUCUCAGGACCAUCGAUCCAGCAUAGGCUCCAGUUCGCUGCCCCGCUGGCCCCUCCAGCCUGUCUUCCUAAUUAUCCUCCGAGGCCUUCUGCCCAGCCCUCCGCUUGCUUGGUCUCACUGCGCAGGUAAGUUUUGCUGCCUGUGUUGCUCUUUGGGUUUCCCGUGGCGGGGCAUACUUGCUGCCCCGUCACACAGUUAUUUAGUACUUGCAUAACCAA